Molecule: ribosomal RNA, 759 nt
Filed under: Triticum aestivum (bread wheat)
Lineage: Eukaryota; Viridiplantae; Streptophyta; Magnoliopsida; Poales; Poaceae
Description: partial small subunit ribosomal RNA
Source: RNAcentral
AUGUUACAGUUGGAUCUUUCAUACAACCAAUUUUUCGGACCGAUACAAGAGUUUGGUGGACUUACAAAUUUGAUGUUCAUAGAUCUAAGCUCAAACAAACUAACAGGUUCAGUAAAAUUAAGUUCAGUUUGGAAGUUAAGAAGGCUUACUUACUUAGGUCUCUCAGACAAUAGAUUAUUCGUGUUGGAUGGAGAAGGAAGUAUACCAUUACUCCCUAAAAUCUUGAGUUUAGGGCUUGCGUCUUGCAACCUGACAACAAUUCCUAGAUUCUUGAUGCAUGUCAAUCAUAUCAGCACAUUAGACAUUUCAAGCAACAAAAUACAUGGGACUAUACCCAAAUGGAUAUGGGAGACAUGGGAAGACAGCCUUAUACAUUUAAACCUUUCACACAACAUAUUUACAUAUAUGCAACUCACUUCACAUGUCCUUCCAACGAGUCGUUUGGAAUCUCUUGAUCUCAGUUCCAAUAGACUUCAAGGCCAGAUCCCGAUGCCAGCAGUUAGCAGUUCCCCACGAGUCAGAGAUCCUUCCUUUCAAAAAAGCCAACUCUUUGAUUAUUCAAAUAAUAGAUUCUCUUCUCUUUUGUCAAACUUCACUGCUUGUCUUAGCAAUACCACUUAUCUCAAACUUUCCAACAAUAACCUAAGUGGGCAUAUACCACAUUCAAUUUGCAAUCAUGACAAACUACAAGUCCUUGACGUGUCAUAUAAUAACUUCAGCGGGUUGAUACUUGAUACCAUCAUGUCUGCUAGAACAUAG